UCAAAUUUAUCAACAAAAUUGUAGCAAUAAUACUAUCUUUUCAAUUCUCAAAAAUCAACUUAAUUAGGCAAACCACAAUUUGUCAUGACCCAAGCAAGCCUAUCCAUUUACCUUUGCUUAACAAAUUUAUCAUAUCAUGCAUACACACACACCUUUUCCCAGGUGUGAACAUAGCCAAAACACAAUGGCAUUAUCGAUAAUAAUAUACAUGCACUAUACCAGUCAUGUAUUUAGCAAUUUACAUUGCAUACACAUAUUCACAUUGUUAGAUUGUAUUCACAAUACAAAAGGACCCAUGACUUUCAGCGGAGACAUUUACAAUAAAAGGGAUUACUAUCGAAUGCCAAACACAGACCCAGGAGAUGCACUGUGGGGACUCCUCGAUCUAGGGUCCAAU
Molecule: long non-coding RNA, 397 nt
Filed under: Theobroma cacao (cacao)
Lineage: Eukaryota; Viridiplantae; Streptophyta; Magnoliopsida; Malvales; Malvaceae
Description: long non-coding RNA (TCAC_LNC000310)
Source: RNAcentral